This 492-nucleotide ribosomal RNA is filed under the name uncultured bacterium. RNAcentral's name for it is "bacterial SSU rRNA". It matches the Rfam family "Bacterial small subunit ribosomal RNA", at positions 29 to 507 of the family's 1533-position model. The record is from RNAcentral.
AUUGAACGCUGGCGGCAUGCCUUACACGAUGCAAGUCGAACGGCAGCAUGGGUGCUUGCACCUGAUGGCGAGUGGCGAACGGGUGAGUAAUGCAAUCGGGAACGUACCCGGAAAGUGGGGGAUAACGUAGCGAAAAGUUACGCUAAUACCGCAUAGUUCUGUGAGCAGGAAAGCGGGGGAUCGCAAGACCUCGCGCUUCCGGAGCGGCCGAUGUCGGAUUAGCUAGUUGGCGGGGUAAAGGCCCACCAAGGCAACGAUCCGUAGCGGGUCUGAGAGGAUGAUCCGCCACACUGGGACUGAGACACGGCCCAGACUCCUACGGGAGGCAGCAGUGGGGAAUUUUGGACAAUGGGCGCAAGCCUGAUCCAGCCAUGCCGCGUGAGUGAAGAAGGCCUUCGGGUUGUAAAGCUCUUUCGGCGGGGAAGAAAUCGCAUCUCCUAAUACGGGGUGUGGAUGACGGUACCCGAAUAAGAAGCACCGGCUAACUACGUG